GUCUGUUAGGGCCAUAUCAUUAGCAUAAUUAAUGUUGCAUAUAUUGGCUUAAUUGGCAUCAGACAUAGAGCAGCAUUGUGCAUCUGCAAUAUGCAAAGUGCAGAUGGUGCUUCUCAUACUGAUUGCUUUGGGGAACAUCACUAGGAAAUUGUUUGUAAUGACUUAAAAUGUGACCAGACCUUGUGGCUGUUUUGUUUCUUCACUGGGAAACAGCUCCACACACACACACACACACACACCCCGCAAAAAAAAAGUGCAUUAACAAAGGGUUGGAUCCAGAGUAACCUGUUAGUUAACUGAAGUUCCAUUGAUUGCAUUGGAAACAAAGUUCAACUAGCUUUACUUUGAAACUAAUGCCCUUUUGUUCCUCCAGCCUGUUACAUGUUACUUUGGUGGGAAUCAGUGUUGCCCUUUUGCUCCCCAUCUCACUUGCCAAUGGUGCAGUUAAAAACACAUUUUGAAGCCAGUACUUACAAUGAGAGAUCCUUUGUACAUUUAUAAAUAGUUUUUAAGCAGUCCUGCCUUUCUUCAGGGCCACUCAAAUGGGCUACUUGUGCUUGGAGUAACAAAGUUCAGUGCAACUGGAAGACAGUACGGACCAGCAUUUGAUAUGACCCCCUCUCUAUUCAGAAGCAAGCCCUAUUGAAUCCAUUGGUGCUUACUCCCAUGUAAUAGGUGUUAGGAAUGCAGCUUUGCUUAGUCACACUUUUCUUUUGUUGAAAUCAUUGGGACUAAAUCAUAGUUUAGGGUGUAUUCAACUAAGUCGCACUCAAGCAUAUAGGCACAGAUUUCAAGUGAUCUAAUUCGAGUGUGAUUUAGUUGGAUACAACUGUAUAUCUGGAAUCAACUUGUGAUACUCAGAAACCAAUGACUGAACUUCAAAGCAAGGGACAUUCGUAGUUUAUUUUUUUCUUCAGUGGGUGAAAGUGUGGCAGAAAGUGAUGAAGGAUAAAUACAGAUUUUUAGCAGUCCAAAAUGAGAUUAGCUAAAUCAGCUUGUAUUGCACAAGAUGUAUCUAUUACAAACUUGUUUCCUGAGCUAAGAAAAUGAUGUGGUGCAUGCAUGUUCAUAUUGCAGCCAAUUCACCUGGAAAUAAUCAAAAGAUGCUUUGGGUACUCCCUUUGUGGUUUGCUCAAUUUGCAUCUUGUACUCUUGGCACCACUACAUAUUCCAAAAGGUUUGGAUCUUCACAUUAUGAGGAAGCAUAAAUUUAAUUCAAGACUCCAAAAAGGGUGGCAUGGAAUUUCACUGGCAUUAAAAUAUAUAGUUUCACUUUGGAAAUGUCUCAACUCCCUCAACUGUUCCUCAUAUGGCUUGGUUUCCAGCCCCUUGAUCAUACUGGUUGCCCUCCUCUGCAAGAUGACGAGGAACCAUCAGUGAGAAUUAGUGAAAUGAGAUUCAUCUAACAUGAAACCCAUGCUGGGUCUAAGUAUUCACAGCAUUCUUUUCUAAGUGCUCACAGACCGACUACAGGCAACAACUGAUUAAUGCAUGUCUGAAAGACAUGGGAUUGAGCACGCACACAUGGCACUAAACUCGGAAGUGACCUGAAAACUCACUCAACAUAAAAAAAAGGGUGGAAUGAGGGCGGGGGGUGGAACAGGGCAGGAUGGGUGGGGCAACCUUAUAUGUGCACGGGGGGGUCUAGAAAUGGAACCCCCACACAGAAUGGUUGUCAACUGUAUUUCAUUAUGUGUUCUAUGACCUUUCCUAGUAUUGACAUAAAGCUCACCAGUUGGUAGUUAACCUGGGUCUUCUCCCCACCCCCUCCCUUUUGAAGAUGGGCAAAACUGCCUUGGUGGUCCCUUUGUGAUCACAGGAAAGUUUUAAAUAGAAGCGGCCAUUUGUAUCCUUCAUGAAUCAUGCAUUCAUCUCUCUCUUUCUGUAUGUGUGUUACAUUAUUAAUCUCUUUUCUGAGUAAUUCAAGUGCUGCCACUAAAUGCAAAACUAAAGUCAGCUUUUAAAAUACUAUGGUCUUUUUCUCUUCUCUCUUUCCCUGAUAUAAGCAGAAAUAAAACUACUAGUUCAUGUGCAUAUAAAGAAUUAUUUCCUAAGAUCCAAACAAAUUAAUAAUAAUAAUAUUUAGCAUGAUGAAAUAAAGCUAGCAGCAUGACUUCACUGCUGUUAGGUAAAAAAUAUUUUCUAGAAUUGCUGCCGACAUAGCAAGUAUUUUAUCUUCAGAUUAAUGAUCAAAGUGUUUUUUUUACUUGGCAUAUAGUAUCGCUCAGGGGUAGCUGUUCUGGAAGGCACAAUGCUUACCUGCAUUUACACAGCCAAUAGGAAGGAUGUUAAUAAGAGAAAAAAUAAAACUCUGGAAGGAUCUUAUCUGGAGUGUUUCUGUAUGACCAGUCACCACAUUAUCAGCAAUGGUCAUCACUAUUGGGAUAUGAGGAAAGUGAGGGGCUUCCUGUGUUUUUGGACUAUAAUGCCCAUCAUCCCUGGCCACUGGUCGUGCUGGCUGAGGCUGAUGGGAUUGUAAUCGAACAACAUCUGAGGGCCCACAGUCACUCCUUCAUAAUGCCCUCUCCAAAUCUGGUCUGGAAUCCCAGAACAGAUUUUGGGGGAUGCACAAGGGGAGGAGAGUCUUGUUGCAGAAAUCUGAUCAGCUGGUUACUUAGCACUACACUGGAUGCAAGCCAUUUUACUGUUCCAGGUGAACAGUUGCCCUUUCCAACUGAAACCCUCUCAGGGCUGAUUUCACUCAUUUAUGUUCUUCAGCUGAUUUCUAACAUUUCGAUGGCUCACAGGUGAAUAGCUUCCGCUUGAAAGCAUCGCGUCUGGGUUGAUAUGAAAUGUUGGACUAUGAAAUUUGAUCUGCAGCACCUGACGUUCCAGUAACCACAUGAUGAAUAUCAAUGGAUGAACUGAACUUCCUUCAUAUCCUUUCCACAUAAUCAGGGUGACGCAACCACAUUUUAUCCUGGCAUGAUAAAAUGAGUUGCCCUGGGACAGCAGAAAUGAGAAGAGGCACACUCUCGCCCUUACUGCCUGUCCAAGGGACAACGGACAAUAGGAGGUUUAGCCUCUAGGAAGAACACUACGGCAAGGGGAAGAUCAUUGAGAUAGAGAAGGAGUAGCUGCAGGGAGUGUGCUUUGCCUUCCAGAAAGAACUUUGCCCAAAUUGGCCAUUGCCCUAGGAGUAUAAAAGCAAAAGGAGCAAUGCCCUGGCAACUGCUAGCAACCAGAUGAACAAGACCUUUGAGCAGUUCUUUGCAUUGCUUUGAUGUAUUGAAAACUGCUUUGGAGAUCAUUUGGUCAAAAGGCAUGGUGUGAAUUGGGUCAGGGUGAGGUGGUCUACCAGAUGUAGCUUGGUUCUAGCUACUGUCUUUUCUGCCCGUUGCCCAUGGCUGCUGGGGCUGGUGAGAGUUGAGAGUCCAAUAACUAUUAGUGCAGGGCAUAUGUUCCCCACUUACUAAUAUAAUGCAUUUUUGCAUGUUAUAUAUCUUCAUUCUUAUGCACAUCCCCCCCAUAUGAUUUUUGUGUGAACAUUGGCUGAAUAACUACGUCACAAAAUUCAGAUAAGUGUGAUUUUUUUUCAAGGGAUUGUUGUGCUUCAGAACACGAACACACACACACACACACACACAUACAGAGAGAGAGAGGAAAGUGUGAAUUUGAUAGAUUUGGCUUUAAAUGUGUCCUGAAUUGAAUUUCUCCUCCAGCCCUAGCUGUGAUUAAUAUAACCUGUAGGUACAAUAACACUGAUUUACAUUGACAUGUAGUGCAAAACACACUGAAGUGCUGUAAUGUGAAAAUCAUGAUUGUAGUAGUAAAUUAUUUACAUGAAAAUAAAUAUAAUAAAGCACUUAAAACCAAGCCCAGUACAAGUAAUUUGGUGUGGAUAUAUAGCUUAGUGGUGAUAAGGCCUUUUGCAUGCGAAACCCUUGAGUUCCAUCCCUGGCAUCUCCAGGUUGGGCAGAGGAAAGACCCUGGAGAGUUACUUCCCGUCAGUGUAGAAAAUGCUAUGCUCCUGUGAUUGAAUUUUCGAUUCAGUCACUCAUGCAAAUGUUCAAAUCUUCAGCCACAAACUUAAGAGCAGUUGUACAUCAGAUUAACAAAAUGCAGCACACAAUUAUGUGAGAUCCCACGAGGUGCCCUAAGACUAAGUCUCUCCUUCAAAGAAAACUGAAUAUUGCAUUUUGCCCUGUUCUCUGGUUCACAAUCGCAAGACAAGGAAAAAACAAAAGAGGGAAAAGGCUAUGAAUAUAGUUCAAUUGUAUGCUUCCUUUAAAGAGUAUGGAGAAAGCCAUAAAUCAUGUUACUAAAAAAUGGCACUUUUUUCUUUUUCUCUCACUGUAU
Non-coding RNA from Podarcis lilfordi (Lilford's wall lizard), 4299 nucleotides. Lineage: Eukaryota; Metazoa; Chordata; Lepidosauria; Squamata; Lacertidae. The record is from the annotation of a GenBank genome assembly.